GCCUUGGUAGUUAAGUGGUUAUAACACUGGCCUGUCGCGCCGGAGUCCCGGGUUCGAUUCCCGGUCAGGGCG
Molecule: transfer RNA, 72 nt
Filed under: Candidatus Pacearchaeota archaeon CG1_02_39_14
Lineage: Archaea; Nanobdellati
Also listed under: 1 other name
Description: tRNA-Asp
Rfam family: tRNA
About the family: Transfer RNA (tRNA) molecules are approximately 80 nucleotides in length. Their secondary structure includes four short double-helical elements and three loops (D, anti-codon, and T loops).
Source: RNAcentral